Molecule: long non-coding RNA, 502 nt
Organism: Lolium rigidum
Lineage: Eukaryota; Viridiplantae; Streptophyta; Magnoliopsida; Poales; Poaceae
Exons: 3
Source: RefSeq, a predicted model, not a curated record
GCUAUUCGCUGGUUAAAUCUCCCAAGUAUCCUCCUCCAAUCGCGAACGCCCAUUCCCGUGAAGGCACUAACUCUCACCAUGAGCUCCCAGGCGGCGGUCGAUUCUGAGAGAAACUCGAGAUGCAGAUCGGUGUGUUGUGCGAGAAGAACUUGUAAUUGUAGGGUAGGUGUGCUCUGUUAUGCAGCGGCAUAAAACAUGCCGGAAAUGGAGUGCAAGACCAAAAGCUUUUGUACACUUCAUGCCUGGAGGUAAUUCUUGCACUUUAAGACUGCUAUUAAGUAACAGGGUCAUAUUUGAGUAAAAGUUAAAUCGUUUGCUGCUUUUCAAAUUUUAGAAUGACAGUUUCACUUUCAUUUUGUUGUGAGCGACUGAUAUAAGAAACGUAUUGUGGCAUCAAGAGUUGGUUCUGCAACAUAAUGUACUCGUACUAGCCAGUGCCGAGGUCUGCAGCUUAAUUUAUGCAAUCAAGAAGCUGAAACAACAAUCUGAAGAGACGUGCUCC